UCUAGGCGCAGUGGCGCGUGCCUGUAGUCCCAGCUACUCGGGAGGCUGAGGCUGGAGGAUGGCUUGAGCCCAGGAGUUCUGGGCUGUAGUGCGCUAUGCCAAUCGGGUGUCCACACUAAGUUCGGCAUCAAUAUGGUGACCUCCUGGGAGCUGGGGACCACCAGGUUGCCUAAGGAGUGUUGAACCGGCCUAGGUCAGAAAUGGAGCAGGUCACAACUCCCGUGCUGAUCAGUAGUGGGAUUGCGCCUGUGAAUAGCCACUGCACUCCAGCCUGGGCAACAUAGUGAGACUCUGUCUCU
Molecule: signal recognition particle RNA, 299 nt
Filed under: Cebus imitator (Panamanian white-faced capuchin)
Lineage: Eukaryota; Metazoa; Chordata; Mammalia; Primates; Cebidae
Description: Metazoan signal recognition particle RNA (ENSCCAG00000014195.1)
Rfam family: Metazoan signal recognition particle RNA
About the family: The signal recognition particle (SRP) is a universally conserved ribonucleoprotein. It is involved in the co-translational targeting of proteins to membranes.
Source: RNAcentral